CAUUAACAAGAGUAUAUAGCAUCAAGACUUUUAUAGAACUUUUAAAUAUAAAAAAUAAAAAAAUUGUGCCACAAACCAUUUUUUGAUGCUUAGCAUCAUUUGAUCGACCAAGAGCCUUUUCCUCUUCAGCAAGCUGAAACUCGUAAUACUUGUAGUCAGGACAGUGUUUGUCAAAUAGAAAUAUGCAAAUAACCCAAGAUUUAUAUCAAUAAUUUAUUAAGGUCAGAUUCUAAUUUAAAAGUAAAACAGAGUUUAUGAGAAAAAUAAGUAGUGCAGUCGUACUUGAAUGGUGUACCUCCAGGAUUCCUCUGCCGUGUGAUAUUCUCAAACUAUCUCCCAUUUUUGGCAACAAAACUUGCCAAUUUGUCAGCAACUUGCUUCACUGUCAUAUCAUUUGGUGGGGGU
RNAcentral lists this long non-coding RNA (405 nucleotides) under Setaria italica (foxtail millet). RNAcentral describes it as "long non-coding RNA (SITA_LNC006757)". The record is from RNAcentral. Lineage: Eukaryota; Viridiplantae; Streptophyta; Magnoliopsida; Poales; Poaceae.